Molecule: long non-coding RNA, 1263 nt
Organism: Homo sapiens (human)
Lineage: Eukaryota; Metazoa; Chordata; Mammalia; Primates; Hominidae
Source: Ensembl
GGCAACACGCUGGGAUUCCUUUCCACGCAGUGGAAGCUUUGUUCUUUUGCUCUUUGCAAUAAAUGCUGCUGCUCACUCUUUAGGUUUACACUGACUUUAUCAGCUGCAACACUCACCCUGAAGGUCUGCAGCUGCACUUCUGAAGCCAGCGAGACCACGAACCCACCAGAAGGAAGAAACUCCAAACGCAUCCGAGCAUCAGAAGGAACAAACUCUGGACACGCUGCCUUUAAGAACUGUGACACUCACUGCGAGGGUCCGCGGCUUCAUUCUUGAAGUCAGUGAGACCAAGAACCCACCAAUUCCGGACAUAAUAGACGGACUUGCCAUCCUGCAAAGACCUGAGGAACCAUCCUUUUUCUCAGAGUCCUCUCAAGAAAAAGAAGUCUCUGCAACUUGGAGCAAUCUCUAAGUAGCUGUCUGAGCCCCCUGGAAGAGGGCUGUUGUGGGCAGCUGCAUUCAGUGUGAGCAACCUGGAGUGGGCCUGUCCUCCUGCUCGUUCCCAGGUUCAGGCCUGGAAGAGGGAGUUGGAGGCAUGAGAGAAGCCACUGUGGGGAGAGCACCUGGUUCUUCCAAGGCUCGGGGCAUGUGUGGUCCCUGGCUGACUUGGGUGUCCUCUGGUGUGUGCGGUCAGUCUUCUUCUGACUGUGGAUGCCAAAGGGGAGGCCCUUAUCUCUUAGCGCAUGACUCAUCUCUUCGCGCAUGACUCAUCUCUUUGUGCAUGACUGUAUUAUUCUCAGCGUGUCAUGUGGUUCCUGUGCAUAACUGAGCUCAAUGAAUAUUUGCUGAUUUCAGGGAGUGUGUUAGCCUAGGAUGCUACCUCCUGGGAAGCCCUGAGAGGAAGGAUAGUUAAGAAUUCAUAUUACCCAGGGAGGUCUGGCCUUGCCCUCUUUGGCUACAGGGAGGCAAUCUCUAGGCUCUGGAAUGUCAUGCCUCAUAGGGGUCUCUUUAUUUGCCUGGGGUCUUUGGGCCAGGUGGUACCAGUUCUGUCUCUAGAGGGGCUGGGGACGAGAGGGCAGCCAUGUGGGCAGUAUUUGAAUGAGCUCCAGCAAAAGCUUUGGACACCGAGGCCUGGGUGAGCUUCUCUGGGAAAUUGACACUGUGACAGUGACAUGUCUGUGACUCCACUGGGAGAGGAGAACAGAGAUUCCACGUUUAGAGCCCUCCUGGGCUCUGCCCUUUGGGCUUCAUCACUUGGCUGACUUUAAUCUGUACUCUUUUUGCUGUAUUAAACUUUAACUGUGAGUAUAACACUUACAAUGA